UACGUAGGGUGCAAGCGUUGUCCGGAAUUAUUGGGCGUAAAGAGCUCGUAGGCGGUUUGUUGCGUCUAUCGUGAAAACCUGCAGCUUAACUGUGGGCUUGCGGUGGAUACGGGCAGACUUGAGUUCGGUAGGGGAGACUGGAAUUCCUGGUGUAGCGGUGAAAUGCGCAGAUAUCAGGAGGAACACCCGUGGCGAAGGCGGCUCUCUGGGACGGUACUGACGCUGAGACGCGAAAGCGUGGGGAGCGAACAGG
RNAcentral lists this ribosomal RNA (253 nucleotides) under uncultured bacterium. RNAcentral describes it as "partial 16S ribosomal RNA". It matches the Rfam family "Bacterial small subunit ribosomal RNA", at positions 524 to 776 of the family's 1533-position model. The record is from RNAcentral.